RNAcentral lists this ribosomal RNA (2901 nucleotides) under Escherichia coli KTE142. RNAcentral describes it as "bacterial LSU rRNA". It matches the Rfam family "Bacterial large subunit ribosomal RNA". The record is from RNAcentral. Lineage: Bacteria; Pseudomonadati; Pseudomonadota; Gammaproteobacteria; Enterobacterales; Enterobacteriaceae.
UUAAGCGACUAAGCGUACACGGUGGAUGCCCUGGCAGUCAGAGGCGAUGAAGGACGUGUUAAUCUGCGAUAAGCGUCGGUAAGGUGAUAUGAACCGUUAUAACCGGCGAUUUCCGAAUGGGGAAACCCAGUGUGAUUCGUCACACUAUCAUUAACUGAAUCCAUAGGUUAAUGAGGCGAACCGGGGGAACUGAAACAUCUAAGUACCCCGAGGAAAAGAAAUCAACCGAGAUUCCCCCAGUAGCGGCGAGCGAACGGGGAGCAGCCCAGAGCCUGAAUCAGUGUGUGUGUUAGUGGAAGCGUCUGGAAAGGCGCGCGAUACAGGGUGACAGCCCCGUACACAAAAAUGCACAUAUUGUGAGCUCGAUGAGUAGGGCGGGACACGUGGUAUCCUGUCUGAAUAUGGGGGGACCAUCCUCCAAGGCUAAAUACUCCUGACUGACCGAUAGUGAACCAGUACCGUGAGGGAAAGGCGAAAAGAACCCCGGCGAGGGGAGUGAAAAAGAACCUGAAACCGUGUACGUACAAGCAGUGGGAGCACGCUUAGGCGUGUGACUGCGUACCUUUUGUAUAAUGGGUCAGCGACUUAUAUUCUGUAGCAAGGUUAACCGAAUAGGGGAGCCGAAGGGAAACCGAGUCUUAACUGGGCGUUAAGUUGCAGGGUAUAGACCCGAAACCCGGUGAUCUAGCCAUGGGCAGGUUGAAGGUUGGGUAACACUAACUGGAGGACCGAACCGACUAAUGUUGAAAAAUUAGCGGAUGACUUGUGGCUGGGGGUGAAAGGCCAAUCAAACCGGGAGAUAGCUGGUUCUCCCCGAAAGCUAUUUAGGUAGCGCCUCGUGAAUUCAUCUCCGGGGGUAGAGCACUGUUUCGGCAAGGGGGUCAUCCCGACUUACCAACCCGAUGCAAACUGCGAAUACCGGAGAAUGUUAUCACGGGAGACACACGGCGGGUGCUAACGUCCGUCGUGAAGAGGGAAACAACCCAGACCGCCAGCUAAGGUCCCAAAGUCAUGGUUAAGUGGGAAACGAUGUGGGAAGGCCCAGACAGCCAGGAUGUUGGCUUAGAAGCAGCCAUCAUUUAAAGAAAGCGUAAUAGCUCACUGGUCGAGUCGGCCUGCGCGGAAGAUGUAACGGGGCUAAACCAUGCACCGAAGCUGCGGCAGCGACACUAUGUGUUGUUGGGUAGGGGAGCGUUCUGUAAGCCUGUGAAGGUGUACUGUGAGGUAUGCUGGAGGUAUCAGAAGUGCGAAUGCUGACAUAAGUAACGAUAAAGCGGGUGAAAAGCCCGCUCGCCGGAAGACCAAGGGUUCCUGUCCAACGUUAAUCGGGGCAGGGUGAGUCGACCCCUAAGGCGAGGCCGAAAGGCGUAGUCGAUGGGAAACAGGUUAAUAUUCCUGUACUUGGUGUUACUGCGAAGGGGGGACGGAGAAGGCUAUGUUGGCCGGGCGACGGUUGUCCCGGUUUAAGCGUGUAGGCUGGUUUUCCAGGCAAAUCCGGAAAAUCAAGGCUGAGGCGUGAUGACGAGGCACUACGGUGCUGAAGCAACAAAUGCCCUGCUUCCAGGAAAAGCCUCUAAGCAUCAGGUAACAUCAAAUCGUACCCCAAACCGACACAGGUGGUCAGGUAGAGAAUACCAAGGCGCUUGAGAGAACUCGGGUGAAGGAACUAGGCAAAAUGGUGCCGUAACUUCGGGAGAAGGCACGCUGAUAUGUAGGUGAAGUCCCUCGCGGAUGGAGCUGAAAUCAGUCGAAGAUACCAGCUGGCUGCAACUGUUUAUUAAAAACACAGCACUGUGCAAACACGAAAGUGGACGUAUACGGUGUGACGCCUGCCCGGUGCCGGAAGGUUAAUUGAUGGGGUUAGCGCAAGCGAAGCUCUUGAUCGAAGCCCCGGUAAACGGCGGCCGUAACUAUAACGGUCCUAAGGUAGCGAAAUUCCUUGUCGGGUAAGUUCCGACCUGCACGAAUGGCGUAAUGAUGGCCAGGCUGUCUCCACCCGAGACUCAGUGAAAUUGAACUCGCUGUGAAGAUGCAGUGUACCCGCGGCAAGACGGAAAGACCCCGUGAACCUUUACUAUAGCUUGACACUGAACAUUGAGCCUUGAUGUGUAGGAUAGGUGGGAGGCUUUGAAGUGUGGACGCCAGUCUGCAUGGAGCCGACCUUGAAAUACCACCCUUUAAUGUUUGAUGUUCUAACGUUGACCCGUGAUCCGGGUUGCGGACAGUGUCUGGUGGGUAGUUUGACUGGGGCGGUCUCCUCCUAAAGAGUAACGGAGGAGCACGAAGGUUGGCUAAUCCUGGUCGGACAUCAGGAGGUUAGUGCAAUGGCAUAAGCCAGCUUGACUGCGAGCGUGACGGCGCGAGCAGGUGCGAAAGCAGGUCAUAGUGAUCCGGUGGUUCUGAAUGGAAGGGCCAUCGCUCAACGGAUAAAAGGUACUCCGGGGAUAACAGGCUGAUACCGCCCAAGAGUUCAUAUCGACGGCGGUGUUUGGCACCUCGAUGUCGGCUCAUCACAUCCUGGGGCUGAAGUAGGUCCCAAGGGUAUGGCUGUUCGCCAUUUAAAGUGGUACGCGAGCUGGGUUUAGAACGUCGUGAGACAGUUCGGUCCCUAUCUGCCGUGGGCGCUGGAGAACUGAGGGGGGCUGCUCCUAGUACGAGAGGACCGGAGUGGACGCAUCACUGGUGUUCGGGUUGUCAUGCCAAUGGCACUGCCCGGUAGCUAAAUGCGGAAGAGAUAAGUGCUGAAAGCAUCUAAGCACGAAACUUGCCCCGAGAUGAGUUCUCCCUGACCCUUUAAGGGUCCUGAAGGAACGUUGAAGACGACGACGUUGAUAGGCCGGGUGUGUAAGCGCAGCGAUGCGUUGAGCUAACCGGUACUAAUGAACCGUGAGGCUUAACCUU